RNAcentral lists this ribosomal RNA (416 nucleotides) under uncultured bacterium. Its description in RNAcentral is "partial 16S ribosomal RNA". It matches the Rfam family "Bacterial small subunit ribosomal RNA", at positions 355 to 762 of the family's 1533-position model. The record is from RNAcentral.
UGGGGAAUUUUGGACAAUGGGCGCAAGCCUGAUCCAGCCAUGCCGCGUGCGGGAAGAAGGCCUUCGGGUUGUAAACCGCUUUUGUCAGGGAAGAAAUCUUCUGAGUUAAUACCUCGGGAGGAUGACGGUACCUGAAGAAUAAGCACCGGCUAACUACGUGCCAGCAGCCGCGGUAAUACGUAGGGUGCAAGCGUUAAUCGGAAUUACUGGGCGUAAAGCGUGCGCAGGCGGUUUUGUAAGACAGAGGUGAAAUCCCCGGGCUCAACCUGGGAACUGCCUUUGUGACUGCAAGGCUUGAGUGCGGCAGAGGGGGGAUGGAAUUCCGCGUGUAGCAGUGAAAUGCGUAGAUAUGCGGAGGAACACCGAUGGCGGAGGCAAUCCCCCGGGCCUGCACUGACGCUCAUGCACGAAAGCGU